RNAcentral lists this ribosomal RNA (253 nucleotides) under uncultured bacterium. Its description in RNAcentral is "partial 16S ribosomal RNA". It matches the Rfam family "Bacterial small subunit ribosomal RNA", at positions 524 to 776 of the family's 1533-position model. The record is from RNAcentral.
UACGGAGGGGGCAAGCGUUGUUCGGAAUUAUUGGGCGUAAAGGGCGCGUAGGUGGCCGACCAAGUCGGGUGUGAAAUCCCUCGGCUCAACCGAGGAACUGCAUUCGAUACUGAUUGGCUAGAGUCCGGGAGGGGAUGGUGGAAUUCCCAGUGUAGCGGUGAAAUGCGUAGAUAUUGGGAAGAACACCGGUGGCGAAGGCGGCCAUCUGGACCGGCACUGACACUGAGGCGCGAAAGCCAGGGGAGCGAAUGGG